UGCCGUGGAUAGGCGAUCGCCACCGUAGCCUCCUCGGAGGCCGCGCUGGAGGAAAGUCCGAACACGGCAGGACACGGUGGUGGGUAACGCCCACCGGCCCGGUUGCGGGUCAGGGAAAGUGCAACAGAAAGUACACCGCCGAUCGGGUGCCUUGGCAUCCGAGGUAAGGGUGAAACGGUGCGGUAAGAGCGCACCUCUCGGACGGCAACGUCCGGGGUAAGGCAAACCCCACCGCGUGCAAACGCAAGCAGCUCCGACCGGUUCUCCGGUCCCUGUGGUCCGCAGGCUGGAGCGGGUAGCGUGCAGGAGGCGUUCGGCGACGGACGUCCCAGAGAAAUGGUCGCCCAGAAGCCUCAACCGCUUCGGCACAGAAUUCGGCUUACGUCCAUGGCAACCA
This 397-nucleotide RNase P RNA is filed under the name Phycisphaerae bacterium. RNAcentral describes it as "RNase P RNA component class A". It matches the Rfam family "Bacterial RNase P class A". From Rfam's summary of the family: Ribonuclease P (RNase P) is a ubiquitous endoribonuclease, found in archaea, bacteria and eukarya as well as chloroplasts and mitochondria. Its best characterised activity is the generation of mature 5'-ends of tRNAs by cleaving the 5'-leader elements of precursor-tRNAs. The record is from RNAcentral. Lineage: Bacteria; Pseudomonadati; Planctomycetota; Phycisphaerae.